RNAcentral lists this ribosomal RNA (466 nucleotides) under uncultured bacterium. Its description in RNAcentral is "partial 16S ribosomal RNA". It matches the Rfam family "Bacterial small subunit ribosomal RNA", at positions 28 to 507 of the family's 1533-position model. The record is from RNAcentral.
GAUGAACGCUGGCGGCGUGCUUAACACAUGCCAGUCGAACGGAAAGGCUCCUGCUUGCAGGGGUACUCGAGUGGCGAACGGGUGAGUAACACGUGGGUGAUCUGCCCUGCACUUCGGGAUAAGCCUGGGAAACUGGGUCUAAUACCGGAUAGGACGAUGGUUUGGAUGCCAUUGUGGAAAGUUUUUUCGGUGUGGGAUGAGCUCGCGGCCUAUCAGCUUGUUGGUGGGGUAAUGGCCUACCAAGGCGUCGACGGGUAGCCGGCCUGAGAGGGUGUACGGCCACAUUGGGACUGAGAUACGGCCCAGACUCCUACGGGAGGCAGCAGUGGGGAAUAUUGCACAAUGGGCGCAAGCCUGAUGCAGCGACGCCGCGUGGGGGAUGACGGCCUUCGGGUUGUAAACUCCUUUCGCUAGGGACGAAGCGCAAGUGACGGUACCUUGAGAAGAAGCACCGGCUAACUACGUG